CCUACGGGAGGCUGCAGUGGGGAAUAUUGCGCAAUGGGCGAAAGCCUGACGCAGCGACGCCGCGUGGGUGAUGAAGGCCUUCGGGUUGUAAAGCCCUGUCGGGUGGAACGAACGAUCUGGCGGCGAAUAACCGCCGGGUGUGACGGUACCACCGAAGGAAGCCCCGGCUAACUACGUGCCAGCAGCCGCGGUAAGACGUAGGGGGCGAGCGUUGUUCGGACUUACGGGGCGGACUGCGCGCGUCGGUGGUUACUUCCCUCGGCUUCACCGCGGUCCCGCAUCCGAUACUGUCUGGCUCGAGUCUAGGAGAGGAAAGCGGAAUUCCCAGUGUAGCGGUGAAAUGCGUAGAUAUUGGGAGGAACACCGGUGGCGAAGGCGGCUUUCCGGACUAGUACUGACGCUGAGGCGCGAAAGCUAGGGGAGCGAACGGGAUUAGAUACCCUAGUAGUC
Molecule: ribosomal RNA, 450 nt
Filed under: uncultured bacterium
Lineage: Bacteria
Description: partial 16S ribosomal RNA
Rfam family: Bacterial small subunit ribosomal RNA
Source: RNAcentral